RNAcentral lists this ribosomal RNA (301 nucleotides) under uncultured bacterium. RNAcentral describes it as "partial 16S ribosomal RNA". It matches the Rfam family "Bacterial small subunit ribosomal RNA", at positions 509 to 807 of the family's 1533-position model. The record is from RNAcentral.
CAGUCGCCGCGGUAAUACGUAGGGUGCGAGCAUUAAUCGGAAUUACUGGGCGUAAAGCGUGCGCAGGCGGUUGUGUAAGACAGAUGUGAAAUCCCCGGGCUCAACCUGGGAACUGCAUUUGUGACUGGCAAGCUAGAGUAUGGCAGAGGGGGGUGGAAUUCCGCGUGUAGCAGUGAAAUGCGUAGAUAUGCGGAGGAACACCGAUGGCGAAGGCGGCCCCCUGGACAAAGACUGACGCUCAGGUGCGAAAGCGUGGGGAGCAAACAGGAUUAGAUACCCCAGUAGUCCCUGUCUCUUAUAC